This 406-nucleotide ribosomal RNA is filed under the name uncultured bacterium. RNAcentral's name for it is "partial 16S ribosomal RNA". It matches the Rfam family "Bacterial small subunit ribosomal RNA", at positions 30 to 526 of the family's 1533-position model. The record is from RNAcentral.
AUUGAACGCUGGCGGCAGGCCUAACACAUGCAAGUCGAACGAGUGGCGGACGGGUGAGUAAUGUCUGGGAAACUGCCUGAUGGAGGGGGAUAACUACUGGAAACGGUAGCUAAUACAGCAUACCAUCGGAUGUGCCCAGAUGGGAUUAGCUAGUAGGUGGGGUAAAGGCUCACCUGGGCGACGAUCCCUAGCUGGUCUGAGAGGAUGACCAGCCACACUGGAACUGAGACACGGUCCAGACUCCUACGGUGGGAAGCAUAGGGGAAUAUUGGACACUGGGGGCAAGCCUGAUGCAGCCAUGACGCGUGUAUGAAGAAGGCCUUCGGGUUGUAAAGUACUUUCAGCGGGGAGGCUUUACCCGCAGAAGAAGCACCGGCUAACUCCGUGCCAGCCGCCGCGGUAAUAC